AGGCCGCUAGUUUAAUGAAAACCUUUGAUUUCGGCUCAAACAAUUGUGGUUAAACCCCACAGCCGCCUA
Molecule: transfer RNA, 69 nt
Filed under: Asterorhombus intermedius (intermediate flounder)
Lineage: Eukaryota; Metazoa; Chordata; Actinopteri; Pleuronectiformes; Bothidae
Description: tRNA-Arg
Rfam family: tRNA
About the family: Transfer RNA (tRNA) molecules are approximately 80 nucleotides in length. Their secondary structure includes four short double-helical elements and three loops (D, anti-codon, and T loops).
Source: RNAcentral